CUAAGUUUGAUGGCGACCGGCGCACGGGUGAGUAACACGUAUCCAACCUGCCGAUGACUCGGGGGAUAGCCUUUCGAAAGAAAGAUUAAUACCCGAUGGCAUAGUUCUUCCGCAUGGUAGAACUAUUAAAGGAUUUCGGUCAUCGAUGGGGAUGCGUUCCAUUAGGUUGUUGGCGGGGUAACGGCCCACCAAGCCUUCGAUGGAUAGGGGUUCUGAGAGGAAGGUCCCCCACAUUGGAACUGAGACACGGUCCAAACUCCUACGGGAGGCAGCAUG
Molecule: ribosomal RNA, 276 nt
Filed under: uncultured bacterium
Lineage: Bacteria
Description: partial 16S ribosomal RNA
Rfam family: Bacterial small subunit ribosomal RNA
Source: RNAcentral